Molecule: transfer RNA, 82 nt
Filed under: Pterothamnion crispum
Lineage: Eukaryota; Rhodophyta; Florideophyceae; Ceramiales; Ceramiaceae
Description: tRNA-Cys
Rfam family: tRNA
About the family: Transfer RNA (tRNA) molecules are approximately 80 nucleotides in length. Their secondary structure includes four short double-helical elements and three loops (D, anti-codon, and T loops). Further hydrogen bonds mediate the characteristic L-shaped molecular structure. tRNAs have two regions of fundamental functional importance: the anti-codon, which is responsible for specific mRNA codon recognition, and the 3' end, to which the tRNAs corresponding amino acid is attached (by aminoacyl-tRNA synthetases). tRNAs cope with the degeneracy of the genetic code in two manners: having more than one tRNA (with a specific anti-codon) for a particular amino acid; and 'wobble' base-pairing, i.e. permitting non-standard base-pairing at the 3rd anti-codon position.
Source: RNAcentral
AGCGGGUAUAGCUCAGUGGUAGNNUGGUAGAGCGCAACCUUGCCAAGGUUGAUGUCGCGCGUUCGACUCGCGUUACCCGCUU